UAUUAAGCUGAUAGCAAAGUGGGAG
Molecule: non-coding RNA, 25 nt
Filed under: Mus musculus (house mouse)
Lineage: Eukaryota; Metazoa; Chordata; Mammalia; Rodentia; Muridae
Source: RNAcentral